Long non-coding RNA from Erinaceus europaeus (western European hedgehog), 296 nucleotides. RefSeq lists it as uncharacterized. Lineage: Eukaryota; Metazoa; Chordata; Mammalia; Eulipotyphla; Erinaceidae. The transcript is spliced from 2 exons. The record is from RefSeq and is a predicted model, not a curated record.
GGAAGUUGUCAGUACCCACGGUGAAGGCGUUCUCUGCUUUGCCAUGCUUGUUCCGCACCAGGGCCUGGCGGCACUCCAGACAAAACAUCAGCUUCCGCUCAUAGUCAAAGUCCAGCCAGGGACAAGAUCAGAUGCUGAGCCUUGGACUUCAAUGCCUCAGGCACGGAAUUCUUCUGCAUAACCACUAUGUAAUCUCCUCAGCCCAUAAGAUGGAAUUCUGAAAUCACACUGUCCCAUAUGGAUGCUACUGACCAUGUAACUGUUUCAUGAAAAUCAAAUAAAACAUUUAAAAUUCA